RNAcentral lists this ribosomal RNA (505 nucleotides) under uncultured bacterium. RNAcentral describes it as "partial 16S ribosomal RNA". It matches the Rfam family "Bacterial small subunit ribosomal RNA", at positions 28 to 507 of the family's 1533-position model. The record is from RNAcentral.
GACGAACGCUGGCGGCGUGCCUAAUACAUGCAAGUAGAACGCACAGUUUAUACCGUAGCUUGCUACACCAUAAACUGUGAGUUGCGAACGGGUGAGUAACGCGUAGGUAACCUGCCUGGUAGCGGGGGAUAACUAUUGGAAACGAUAGCUAAUACCGCAUAAUAUUAAUUAUUGCAUGAUAAUUGAUUGAAAGAUGCAAUUGCAUCACUACCAGAUGGACCUGCGUUGUAUUAGCUAGUAGGUGAGGUAACGGCUCACCUAGGCGACGAUACAUAGCCGACCUGAGAGGGUGAUCGGCCACACUGGGACUGAGACACGGCCCAGACUCCUACGGGAGGCAGCAGUAGGGAAUCUUCGGCAAGGGACGAAAGUCUGACCGAGCAACGCCGCGUGAGUGAAGAAGGUUUUCGGAUCGUAAAGCUCUGUUGUAAGAGAAGAACGGGUGUGAGAGUGGAAAGUUCACACUGUGACGGUAUCUUACCAGAAAGGGACGGCUAACUACGUG